This 771-nucleotide ribosomal RNA is filed under the name uncultured microorganism. RNAcentral's name for it is "bacterial SSU rRNA". It matches the Rfam family "Bacterial small subunit ribosomal RNA", at positions 57 to 817 of the family's 1533-position model. The record is from RNAcentral.
GCAAGUCGAACGGCGGCAUGAUCUAGCUUGCUAGAUUGAUGGCGAGUGGCGAACGGGUGAGUAAUACAUCGGAACGUGCCCUGUAGUGGGGGAUAACUAGUCGAAAGAUUAGCUAAUACCGCAUACGACCUGAGGGUGAAAGUGGGGGACCGCAAGGCCUCAUGCUAUAGGAGCGGCCGAUGUCUGAUUAGCUAGUUGGUGGGGUAAAGGCCCACCAAGGCGACGAUCAGUAGCUGGUCUGAGAGGACGAUCAGCCACACUGGGACUGAGACACGGCCCAGACUCCUACGGGAGGCAGCAGUGGGGAAUUUUGGACAAUGGGCGAAAGCCUGAUCCAGCAAUGCCGCGUGUGUGAAGAAGGCCUUCGGGUUGUAAAGCACUUUUGUCCGGAAAGAAAUGGCUCUGGUUAAUACCUGGGGUCGAUGACGGUACCGGAAGAAUAAGGACCGGCUAACUACGUGCCAGCAGCCGCGGUAAUACGUAGGGUCCAAGCGUUAAUCGGAAUUACUGGGCGUAAAGCGUGCGCAGGCGGUUGUGCAAGACCGAUGUGAAAUCCCCGAGCUUAACUUGGGAAUUGCAUUGGUGACUGCACGGCUAGAGUGUGUCAGAGGGGGGUAGAAUUCCACGUGUAGCAGUGAAAUGCGUAGAGAUGUGGAGGAAUACCGAUGGCGAAGGCAGCCCCCUGGGAUAACACUGACGCUCAUGCACGAAAGCGUGGGGAGCAAACAGGAUUAGAUACCCUGGUAGUCCACGCCCUAAACGAUGUCAACU